CCCUUAGAUGUUCUGGGCUGCACGCGCGCUACACUGAUGCACUCAACGAGUUUACGACCUUGUCCGAGAGGAUUGGGUAAUCUUUUUAAAAUGCAUCGUGAUGGGGAUAGAUUAUUGCAAUUAUUAAUCUUCAACGAGGAAUUCCUAGUAAGCGCGAGUCAUCAGCUCGUGCUGAUUACGUCCCUGCCCUUUGUACACACCGCCCGUCGCUCCUACCGAUUGAAUGUGUUGGUGAGGAGCUCGGAUUGGCAGCAGUUGGUGGUUCGCCACCGGCUAUUGCUGAGAAGUCCUCCAAACCGCCCCAUUUAGAGGAAGGAGAAGUCGUAACA
This 329-nucleotide ribosomal RNA is filed under the name uncultured eukaryote. RNAcentral describes it as "partial 18S ribosomal RNA". It matches the Rfam family "Eukaryotic small subunit ribosomal RNA", at positions 1470 to 1796 of the family's 1831-position model. The record is from RNAcentral.